Molecule: ribosomal RNA, 497 nt
Filed under: uncultured bacterium
Lineage: Bacteria
Description: partial 16S ribosomal RNA
Rfam family: Bacterial small subunit ribosomal RNA
Source: RNAcentral
GACGAACGCUGGCGGCGUGCCUAAUACAUGCAAGUCGAGCGAACAGACGAGGAGCUUGCUCCUUUUACGUUAGCGGCGAACGGGUGAGUAACACGUAGGUAACCUACCUGGAAGAGUGGGAUAACUUCUGGAAACCGGAGCUAAUACCGGAUAAUAUUUAUAAUCGCAUGAUUCGAUAUUGAAAGAUGGCUUUGCUUUCACAUCAAGAUGGACUUCCGUCGUAUUAGCUAGUUGGUAAGUUAAGGGCUUACAAAGGCAACGAUCCGUAGCGGACCUGAGAGGGGGAUCGGCCAAAUUGGAACUGAGAAAGGGCCAAGACUCCUAGGGGGGGAGGAGGAAGGGAUCCUUCGGAAAUGGGCGAAAGCUUGCCGGAGCACGGCGGGGGGAGGGAGGAAGGUCUCCGGAUCGUAAACUCUGGUGAUAAGGGAGGAAGAAAGUGGUAAGUAACUGUGCACGUCUUGACGGUACCUAAUCAGAAAGCCACGGCUAACUACGUG